Molecule: small RNA, 182 nt
Filed under: Mycolicibacterium chubuense NBB4
Lineage: Bacteria; Bacillati; Actinomycetota; Actinomycetes; Mycobacteriales; Mycobacteriaceae
Description: Mycobacterium chubuense NBB4 Actinobacteria sRNA Ms_IGR-5
Rfam family: Actinobacteria sRNA Ms_IGR-5
Source: Rfam by way of RNAcentral
ACACAGGGAAGGAGGUGGUCCGAGAAAUUGAGUGACUUAUGGACAUGUGAGGUGGCUGCGAGCUAGCAGCGCCGGGGAGCGCUUGACGCACCUGCGCGCGCUGGCGAAUUCCCCGCAGUCACCCGGCCCCCGAGCCCCUCGGUUGAGUCCGACCAGGAUCAACGGCUCGGGGGCCGCUCCAU